Oncorhynchus keta (chum salmon) is the source of this 1366-nucleotide long non-coding RNA. RefSeq lists it as uncharacterized. The record is from RefSeq and is a predicted model, not a curated record. The transcript is spliced from 4 exons. Lineage: Eukaryota; Metazoa; Chordata; Actinopteri; Salmoniformes; Salmonidae.
AACCGAACAGAUAACUUAAAUCAUACCCAUGUCAGUAUCUUAACAAAGAACAUACACUUUAUAAUCAACAUAUUUACUCAAUUCAGAUCCUUCAACGGGCGAGUCCACACAAAACCAUUUUAUUGCAGAACAAAAUCACAGGAAGCAAUGUUUCUUUUUAAGACAAAGAUCUUUUCAAAUAGCUAAUAUAAAAAUGGUGCUUUCUGAGUGAGUAGCAGAAAUGCUUUCAAGAUAACACAUGGUUUUAAGUGGCGACCUAGUGGUUAGAGCGUUGGGCCAGUAACCAGCAGGUAGCCUAGUGGUUAGAGCGUUGGGCCAGUAACCAGCAGGUAGCCUAGUGGUUAGAGCGUUGGGCCAGUAACCAGCAGGUAGCCUAGUGGUUAGAGCGUUGGGCCAGUAACCAGCAGGUAGCCUAGUGGUUAGAGCGUUGGGCCAGUAACCAGCAGGUAGCCUAGUGGUUAGAGCGUUGGGCCAGUAACCAGCAGGUAGCCUAGUGGUUAGAGCGUUGGGCCAGUAACCAGCAGGUAGCCUAGUGGUUAGAGCGUUGGGCCAGUAACCAGCAGGUUGCCUAGUGGUUAGAGCGUUGGGCCAGUAACCAGCAGGUAGCCUAGUGGUUAGAGCGUUGGGCCAGUAACCAGCAGGUAGCCUAGUGGUUAGAGCGUUGGGCCAGUAACCAGCAGGUAGCCUAGUGGUUAGAGCGUUGGGCCAGUAACCAGCAGGUAGCCUAGUGGUUAGAGCGUUGGGCCAGUAACCAGCAAGUAGCCUAGUGGUUAGAGCGUUGGGCCAGUAACGAGCAGGUAGCCUAGUGGUUAGAGCGUUGGGCCAGUAACCAGCAGGUAGCCUAGUGGUUAGAGCGUUGGGCCAAUAACCAGCAGGUAGCCUAGUGGUUAGAGCGUUGGGCCAGUAACCAGCAGGUAGCCUAGUGGUUAGAGCAUUGGGCCAGUAACCAGCAGGUAGCCUAGUGGUUAGAGCGUUGGGCCAGUAACCCGAAAGGUUGCCGGAUCGAAUCCCCGAGCUAACGAGGUAAAAAAUAUGUCAUUCUGAACAAGGCACUGUUCCAACGCCGUCAACGUAAAUAAGAAUUUGUUCUUAACCGACAUGCCGAGUUAAGCAGGAGGAGUCAGGACUUCUUCCCUCCAGGAAUGAAACCAAACUCAAGCUUUCAUUGAGCAAGUUUCAACUUGCUGUUGGUUUCACAGGACCCCACUUAGAAACGGUCUUUUGAGAAAUGGGAAACUAAAUAAAGAUCUGUAUCUACAGAUAGAACCAAAGGGAGAGACGGGAUUCACACGGGACCUGGUUUAAACUACUCUGAAGAUAUCUCUUCAUCUGUGAGCAGCAGCAAUCAAUAUGAAGAGGUAGGAGG